UACGAAGGGGGCUAGCGUUGCUCGGAAUUACUGGGCGUAAAGAGUGUGUAGGCGGUGCUCUAAGUUCGGUGUGAAAUCUCUCGGCUUAACUGGGAGGGUGCGCCGGAAACUGGAGUGCUCGAACGUGGGAGAGGAAAGCGGAAUUCCUGGUGUAGCGGUGAAAUGCGUAGAUAUCAGGAGGAACACCGGUGGCGAAGGCGGCAUCCUGGACCAAAUCUGACGCUGAGGAGCGAAAGCCAGGGGAGCAAACGGG
This 253-nucleotide ribosomal RNA is filed under the name uncultured bacterium. RNAcentral describes it as "partial 16S ribosomal RNA". It matches the Rfam family "Bacterial small subunit ribosomal RNA", at positions 524 to 776 of the family's 1533-position model. The record is from RNAcentral.